GGAAGGCCAUCCUGACUCACACUUCCCCUUGCAGAACUUCUCUGUGACCUUGGAGACAUCACUCAACCUUCAGGUACCUGAUGUGCAAAAUGGGCCUGACUGUCCCAGUCCUGCGCUUCCGAAGGCUAAUGGAAGGCUCUGAGGGGAUGGUCAUGGAGAUGCUUUUCUGACUGUGAAGUGCCUGGGAGGGGCGUGUGGUUCCGUAAGGGGGUGGCUACUGAGUUCAGAAUGUGGGACGCUGCCACCUUUAACCUUCUUUGGAACAAGGCAAGGUAAACGUAGAAAGAGAUGGGGUGGAAACAGACGGGUUGCUCUCACUGUGUGUGUGCUGUGUGUGCAGGAAUUCGUCAGCCCUCUCUGUGCCUCUCUGCUUACCUUCUGUACAGUGGGACUGUGGCAGGUGCUCAACGUGUAAAUUGCUUCAUAACUCAGGAGCAAGGAAGGAGCCAGGAGAUUACGAGAUGAGGAGGGUGGUCCCAGCCCUGCAUGCUGUCACCACUGUGGGUGUCCCCCACAGGGACCUGAAAUCAGCUGGGAAGAGUGGCUUCUCUUGGCGCCAUUACCAGCCUGUGACCUUGGCAAGUCACUCAGCCUCUUUCCUCUAACAUCAGUUAAACAGGGGUAGGACGUCUCCUCUUUCUACCUCCAAAGCACUUGGCCUGGUGGUAACCUCAAAGCAGACACUCGGUAAAGCCUUAAUGAACGGAGAUGGGUGGCAUGCGGACUGGAGCAGAGGGCAGCCGGAGACCUGUUGCUUCUGCCACGGACAAGCUGCGGGAUCUCUGGGCUUUAGUUUCCCCAUUUGUAAAGGAGGAAGCUGGACGGGGUAAUCUCUAAGGAUCCUCCCAGCUCUGCCGGCUCUGAAAUGGGAAUGGAUGAGGUGCUUCUGUUCUUUCUUACUCAUUAAGUCAUUUCUCAAAUGUUUAGUGCACAUCCACUCUCAGCCAGGCACCAGGAGCCUGAUUCCAUUUUGUUUUCAUAAAAGUCCUGUGAGGCGCAUAGGCAGCUAGCUAGCCACAUGCC
This 1023-nucleotide long non-coding RNA is filed under the name Equus caballus (horse). RNAcentral describes it as "lncRNA (ENSECAG00000044108.1)". The record is from RNAcentral. Lineage: Eukaryota; Metazoa; Chordata; Mammalia; Perissodactyla; Equidae.